GACGAACGCUGGCGGCGUGCUUAACACAUGCAAGUCGAACGGAAAGGCCCUGCUUUUGUGGGGUGCUCGAGUGGCGAACGGGUGAGUAACACGUGAGUAACCUGCCCUUGACUUUGGGAUAACUUCAGGAAACUGGGGCUAAUACCGGAUAGGAGCUCCUGCUGCAUGGUGGGGGUUGGAAAGUUUCGGCGGUUGGGGAUGGACUCGCGGCUUAUCAGCUUGUUGGUGGGGUAGUGGCUUACCAAGGCUUUGACGGGUAGCCGGCCUGGGAGGGUGACCGGCCACAUUGGGACUGAGAUACGGCCCAGACUCCUACGGGAGGCAGCAGUCGGGAAUAUUGCACAAUGGGCGGAAGCCUGAUGCAGCAACGCCGCGUGCGGGAUGACGGCCUUCGGGUUGUAAACCGCUUUCGCCUGUGACGAAGCGUGAGUGACGGUAAUGGGUAAAGAAGCACCGGCUAACUACGUG
RNAcentral lists this ribosomal RNA (468 nucleotides) under uncultured bacterium. Its description in RNAcentral is "partial 16S ribosomal RNA". It matches the Rfam family "Bacterial small subunit ribosomal RNA", at positions 28 to 507 of the family's 1533-position model. The record is from RNAcentral.